GAGGUGAGAGUGACAAUAUUACAGCAAUAUUAUUACAAUAUUACUUCAUAAAUACAACACACCGCAUCAUUCUCUACAGGUGUGCUAUUAUCAUUUUCUCAUUUGUAAGUUGCUUUGGAUAAAAGCGUCUGCGAAAUGAAUAAAUGUAAUGUAAAUGUAGAUCUAGAUGAAUAAAGUGGGCGUGGCAGGAGGUUGUACCUGAGGCUCUGCAGCGAGGACGCGGACGGUAGGGCCUCGGAAAGUUUCUGCACUCCGGCGUCUCCGAUGCAGUUCUGAGAAAGACUGGAAUGUCGGAGGAAGGAAUUUAACGUUACACGCACUGUGACACUUUCACACAGAGAUUUUAUAAAUAAUCAGCGAGUUCAGGAACACGUGCGAGACUGACUUCAGCAGCUUCAGAGACGACAGCGAGCUCAGCACACCGGCCAACUGCUCCGCUUCAGCAUCCCCCAUUUUAUUAUUCUCCAGACUGCAAGAGACAAGCAGAGUGUUCAAGAGAAGCGCAGUGAGGUGAACGUUUAUAAGAAGAGAACUUACUCCAGAUGAUGGAGAGACUGAAGAGCAGAUAAGACCUCCGCCUGCCGGAGAAAAACCUCAGGACUGUUCUGCUGGCCGAGCCUUUAGUACAUAAAGAGAACACAACACGCUGAUCAGUACCGACACACACACACACACACACACACACCACCACAGUGUUCCUGUGGCCUCAUCAAUCCUCAACAUGCCCCUGUUUAUUACUUAGCACCAGACGUUCACUACCUGAGGGCUUGUGUCACCAAUUUACAGAAAAAAAUGUAUAGAAGAGAGAAGAACGAAGCUCGUUACACAUACCACAGGUGUGUGAGUGCAUACGCAGACACCUAAUUCAUUUAAUCUAUAAUAAAGUAAGUAAUCUAA
Long non-coding RNA from Ictalurus punctatus (channel catfish), 897 nucleotides. RefSeq lists it as uncharacterized. The record is from RefSeq and is a predicted model, not a curated record. The transcript has 2 exons. Lineage: Eukaryota; Metazoa; Chordata; Actinopteri; Siluriformes; Ictaluridae.